RNAcentral lists this transfer RNA (85 nucleotides) under Ancylobacter aquaticus. Its description in RNAcentral is "tRNA-Leu". It matches the Rfam family "tRNA". Rfam says of the family: Transfer RNA (tRNA) molecules are approximately 80 nucleotides in length. Lineage: Bacteria; Pseudomonadati; Pseudomonadota; Alphaproteobacteria; Hyphomicrobiales; Xanthobacteraceae. RNAcentral also lists the same sequence under 6 other names. The record is from RNAcentral.
GCCCAGGUGGCGGAAUUGGUAGACGCGCACGGUUCAGGUCCGUGUGGGUAACACCGUGGAGGUUCGAGUCCUCUCCUGGGCACCA